GUGGAUUCAAAACUGUGUGCUAGGUAUGAAAUUGAAAUUUCUACACUCAAACAUAGUUACUGAUUCUAUCCCCUUCUUAUGGUUAAUGAAUUCCUGUAAUUCUGUGUUGUGUGAAUAAAAGUGUUAUUUUCAUGUUUUAUUUUCCUGUAAUAUGUGUGAAUGAAAGUAAAUGCAAUGAUAUGGUUACUUAGAAAAUGUACAUGGAGUGUAAAAAUUGCUGAACUCUUGGAUAUUUUAUACUUAAUUUGGUAACUUUCUUUGUGGGUUCUUGAUGUUAAUGUUUUUUUUUAUUGGUUUCAUGAUUUAUUGUUUUGUGUUUCUGUAGGAUUUUGCUAUAUCACUCCAAAAUAUGGAUUGACUAACAUCAGUUGACAUGUCUUUGUAGGAACGUCUCCAUGAAAAGAAGCAGGUCCUUCAUUAUUUGGAGAAGAAAUUACAAGAAAAAGGUAGACAGCUGCAUGCUACCAAUUUAGAUUAUGAUGCAUGCUUACAUACUUUCAUAUUUUAUAUACGAGUUUUUAAGUUUGGUUUUUGAUGUGAUACAACAAAUGUAUAGAUCUAUUACUGAAAAAUUUAUGUUAUGUGUUGCCUCCCGUUUACUGUUAAUUUAAUCUAUUACUGAAAAGUUUAUGUUAUGUGUUGCCUCCCGUUUACUGUUAAUUUAAUCUCUUACUAACAAUAGGUUAUUAAUAACAAAAUACAUGGAACAUUUGGUUAUUUAAAUCCAGAGUACUUCCACUCUAGCCAAUUUACAGACAACAGUGGCUAUGGAGAAAAUUAAACCCGCAGCAACGCGCGGCGCGGUACUGUUCCCGUGACCAGUGACAGUUGGGCUUGGGCUUUUUCUCUCCUUGGGCUUUUGGGCCUGCGUCUCGCCGUUUUCUGAUUCUUUUUCUUGCUCUCUCUCGAUCUCUCUCGAAACUCCACCGAAUCGUCUUUU
This 940-nucleotide long non-coding RNA is filed under the name Fragaria vesca (wild strawberry). RNAcentral's name for it is "long non-coding RNA (FVES_LNC004493)". Lineage: Eukaryota; Viridiplantae; Streptophyta; Magnoliopsida; Rosales; Rosaceae. The record is from RNAcentral.